Molecule: non-coding RNA, 813 nt
Organism: Neolamprologus brichardi
Lineage: Eukaryota; Metazoa; Chordata; Actinopteri; Cichliformes; Cichlidae
Source: RefSeq, a predicted model, not a curated record
CACGCCCACCGGAUGCGGAAAGGUCCGUUGAGACGUUAACGAGCACGUGGAGUUACUUCUUUGGCAUACCUGAUAGUGAGAAAUACAUCACAAAAUAGAGCCACAUUCCCAUGCUCUGAGAUUCUUAUGCACCUCCUCAACAAUACAUGUGACGUGUAUGUGGCAGUGCAAACAUUGUGUUACCAGAGAGAGCAGUAGGUACAAAUUACUUCAACAUUAUAAACUACAUCAUCAUUACGGAAUAGGUCAACAUUAUCUGUGCAUAUAUGUUAAUUGUCCGUGCACAUUUAAGACUUGGAGUGGACUGAACACUCAUGUCUAUAAAGCUCAUUCAUCUCAGUUUACACAGACAGCUUCAAGUUCAGUAACUUUUAAAUGUGAGUUAUGUGACUGCAGUGACAUCUUCUCUGAGAGAGAUUUUUUUGUCCAUAUUGGAACACAUCUGCGAAGUAACGAGACAGUUAGUUGUGUGUUUCUUGGUUGCCCUUUCAAGACAAAUAUUUACAAUACAUUUUAUACACACAAAAAGAGGAAGCAUCAUCCACACACACUUAAAGAUUUUAAAGGCAGUGUAGUUACAUGUGUGGACCCAGUUCAAGUGAUAGAGUCCUCUGAUAACGUAAGGGCUACCUGUUCUGCAGAUGUAUCCUAUGGUGAAUUUGAAAGUGAGUCAGUGACAGAAUGUGAUAAUAGUGCUGUUGAAAAUCAGCCAGAACUAAUUGAACGGAAAUUAGCAGUAAUAUUGUUGAAAUUGGAACACAUAUUUCAUGUUCCAGCAAAAGGAUUAGAUGAGUUCUUAGAGGAGUUAGUUUU